GUGAGUCAUCGAAUCUUUGAACGCACAUUGCGCCCCUUGGUAUUCCGGGGGGCACGUCUGUUCGAGCGUCAGUGCAAAACCUCCGGCAGCGGUUUUUUGACCGCGAGCCGGGUCUCUGGCGGCGGCGUCACCCCUCCCACUCCGGUGGGAGGGUACUGCGCCCCCGCUUAAAUUUGUGAAGUUUGCGGGCCCGUACCACACGACCAUCACGUAGUAAAUUAUUUUCUCAUGACGGUAUCGGGUGUAAGGGUGCCCCGCCUCGCCACAACUUUCUGACGUUUUGACCUCAGAUCAGACGAGUAUACCCGCUGAACUUAAGCAUAUCAAUAAGCGGAGG
Molecule: ribosomal RNA, 337 nt
Filed under: uncultured fungus
Lineage: Eukaryota; Fungi
Description: eukaryotic LSU rRNA
Rfam family: 5.8S ribosomal RNA (bases 1-71)
Source: RNAcentral